UAAUCUCAGCUUGUAACAUGGAGUAGUUUUAGAAUGUUAUCUCUAGUUACCAGUUUGAGGUUAAU
This 65-nucleotide microRNA precursor is filed under the name Brachionus plicatilis. RNAcentral describes it as "Bpl-Mir-216-P2_pre stem-loop". Lineage: Eukaryota; Metazoa; Rotifera; Eurotatoria; Ploima; Brachionidae. The record is from RNAcentral.